AUUUGCUCAUUUAUUGCAGUUUUAUAAUAGCUGCCUUAAAUUCUUUUUCGGGUAAUUUUGACUCCUUUGCCAUUUAGCAACUCUUUUCUCAUGCAAGUUGAGAUUUGGAGAGGGGAGCAUUUUCAUUUUUAUUUUUGUUGCUUGUUUUUUAUUUCAGAUAAUUUUUAUUUUAUCUUGGACAUUUUACAUAUUAUCUUAAGAGAUUCUGGUUCUUAUUUACAUUCUAUUGAUGUUUUAGCACACAGUUUACCCUUUUAGGUUCAGUCCUCUGACCUUCGGUGAGCAGUAAUUCCAGUAUCAGUCCUGAUAUCCCUUUUCUGUGCUCUCAUAGUGGUCUGUCUAGAAUUUGGGUGGAAUUUUUUUCUUAAGCUUGCAUCUCAAGGCCUUUGGAAUGCUAAUAAGAAUCAGAUUCAUUCAUGUACUGUUUAGGUUUACAGAUAGCUUCUGGUCACAAGAGGUGGGUCACUGUGGCCUGACUUGGUGUUGCUUUCCUAAGAUCCUUGCUCUGUACUAUUUCUCCUUUGAUUUCUGGACUUUUGUGGUUGUUCUUUUUGAUCCUCUGGGUAUGAUCCUCUGUGUAUGAACCUCUGACUUUUGUUAUUAAUUCAUGGUAUAAGGAACCAAGAGAAAAAAAAGGUUUACCAUUUUCCCUGGGGUUCACCAAAUGGAGAGAGAAGUAAGGUUCUUGUCCCUUACAGUUUUAGCUACUAUGCUUUCUUCUUGCCAAUAGCUUCUCUGUUGCUAAUGCUUUCCUUGUGAGGUUGCCUUUGGGGCUAAACAUUUGGAAAUACAGUUAAAGAAGCAACAGAUUUCCCCCAGUGUUUCUAAGCUCUUUGGAGUUUUCUCCAGCCAGAUAGAAAAUUAAUCUUGUAUCUUUGUAUGUACCACAGUGUUCUCUGCCGUGGUUGGAGCUUGUUGUGGUUUAUAGCUAGAUGUUCCCCAAAGCUUCAUGCACUCAGAGAUGGCACUUGUGGAAGGUGAUUGGACUUUGGCAGCACUACAGCUGGCUUCACGUUAGGAAGUAGGAUCUGGUCACAGGAGAAUUUUAUUACUUCUCAUCUGGACUGAUGAUGUAAUGCAUUAAGAAGCAUAUACAAUCCAACCUGCAACUCCCCCCCCACCAAUCUUUCACAUACAAUCAGUAUUCUAACAUUUUGAUGUGUCUCUUUAAAACACAAAUCUGAUUGAAUUGUUCCUGUUCUGAAAGUCUUUGAAUAUGAUAUCCAAAUUUGAGGUUAGUGUCUGUAUUUAUUUCUAGAUAAUUA
This 1265-nucleotide long non-coding RNA is filed under the name Heterocephalus glaber (naked mole-rat). Its description in RNAcentral is "lncRNA (ENSHGLG00100039366.1)". Lineage: Eukaryota; Metazoa; Chordata; Mammalia; Rodentia; Bathyergidae. The record is from RNAcentral.